Non-coding RNA from Anas platyrhynchos (mallard), 21782 nucleotides. NCBI's taxonomy places the organism in Eukaryota, Metazoa, Chordata, Aves, Anseriformes, Anatidae. The record is from RefSeq and is a predicted model, not a curated record.
GCCAGGAGUGCAUGAAGACUGGAGGAAAGCGUAUGUCACUCCUAUCUUCAAGAAAGACAAGAGGGAGGACCCAGAGAACUACAUGCCAGACAACUUCAACUCAAUCCCUGGCAAGGAUAUGGAGCAUCUCAUCCUAGAAACCAUUUAACAGGCAGAUGAAGGAGAAGAAAAUCACCCGGACUCAUCAGUGUGGCUUCAGCAAGUGGAAGUCAUCCUUGACAAACUUGAUAAGCUUCUGCAAUGAAAUGACCAGCCUGACAGAUGAGGGGACAUCAAUGGCUUAAGGGAUUUUGCUAAGGCUUUUCAUGCUAUGCCCCUGAAGAUCCUCCUGGAGAAGCUGUUGAUGUAUGGGCUGGAUGGGUGGACAGUGAAGUGCUUCAAACCCUGGUUGAAUGGCUUGGCCCAGAGAGUAGCAGCCAGGAGUGCAAAGUUUAGCCAGUAACAUGCAGUGUACCCCCAGGAGUCACAACUGGGUCCAAUUCUGUUAAUUGCAACUUUAUUAAUCACCUGUGCAAGGGGGUGGAGUGCACCCUCAUCAGGCUUGCUGAUGGCAACAAGCUGGGAGGAGUGGCUGAUAAGCCAGAGGGACCUGGACAAGCUGGAGAAAUGGCUGAAUCAAGAAACCUUAUAAAGCUCAACAUGGAGUAGGGCAGUGCCCUGCCCCUAAGCAGGAACAGCCCUAGGCAUGGGGGCAUGCUGGUGGCUACAUAGUUGAAAGGCAGCCUUGCAGAAAUGGACCUGGAGGCCUGGGAGACACCAAACUGAACGCAAGUCAGCAAUGUGCCCUUUGCUGCCAACAGGACUGCAUCAGGCAAAGGACUGCCAGCAGGUCAAGGGAGGCGAUCCUUCCCCUCUGCUCAGCACAGAAACAACAGCCACAUCUGCACUCGUAGGAGCAUCAGACUGGUGGGCACCGCGAGCUGCCUGGAGUGCCUGCACCUAGUGGCUCGAGGUCUGGGCUGUUGAAGAAGCCAAGUUUUAAGCCAAAUGACAACAUCUUCCAUGAUGUUCCUACCUGUGGUAAGACUUCACCGUUAUGGGUUGGCUUCAGCACAUAUGUGUCCUAUGAUCCCUGCUCAGCCAGUUUGUCCAUGGAGAUCACAAGGUACACUAAAUCCCUUUUUCUAUACGGAAGCCUAAAUUUGGCUGUUUCAAGAUCCUUGAAAGGUGUUGGGAAAACUCCUAAUAUUCCAGUCAGGGGAGAAUUUUUGAAACACAUGACUGGCAGAAAACUGAGGCCGAACGCACACCAAGUCUCGGAGAAGUGCUGGCGCUGCUGCCAUCCACUGCAGGUAAUCCCAUAGACGCACACUGAAGGGUUCCUUGUUUUCCUCCAAGGCUGCUGGUGUCAGUCAUGAGUUAGGGAAAACCUUGUGCUGAACUGAGUCAAGUUCCCAUCAGGUCUGGCAAUGUGUGUUUUUUUUGUUGUUACUGUAUUUUUUUUUUCUUAAGGGGGGAAUAAAUGAGCACUCACACACACUGCUAACAACAACGUGAAGCAUUUUCCUCUUCAAGAGCCCUUCCUCCCUACCCAACGCCUUCCUUUUAAAGGAGGGUGCAGAAGUCAAGCAGAGUCGUGCAUCAUCCAGCAGGCACGCGGCACUCCACCGCCGUGCUCUGGGAUUCCUCGAAGCCCGCGCUGCACGGGGAGAGCAGAGCUGGGGCAUGGAAACAGCACUGGGGGGCUGCAGCCUGGCAGCGUGCUCCUUCCCCUCGGAGCAAGAAAUGUCAAGGAGAAUUAGCGAGAUGGCUGCGGGCUUAGCCUGCAAUUGGAAGCAACUGCUGUUCGUAAGCAGGCUGUGACUGCUCAGCCUUGCUAAUCAGAUUUCGGAAGGCGCUGGGCUGGCUCAUGCUAGAGGGUGCCCGUUGCGUGUUUUGCUCACUGCGCUGUGCUGAUGGGGUCGGUGUUUCGGAGAAGAAAGAGGAAGGUUUCCGUGGGGCGAGCCUGGUUCAAUAACCAGAGGUUGUGUUGGAGCAGAGGUCAGAAAGCCACUUGGAGGCCUGCCCACCUCGGGCAUGGCUCUGAGAGCCGUGCUGUGGGUGAUGCGGAGCCAGCAAGGCAGGACCAGAAACUCCAAGGUGUCACAACGCAGCCUCACCAGAACAGACCUGCUGGUGGGGGGGAGCCCCAAAACCCGACCCCCAAAACUUGUUCCCAAAAAAAUGCGCACACACAAAAAAAUGCCCCUCCCAAAAAACCAGGGCAGCUGGCCUCUGCAGGCCUCCAGAGCACGGGCAGCAGGGUGCCAGGAGGCAGAGCACCCUGGCGCAGGGCAGCAUGCAGCUGCACCCCUCCUGGCCGUGCUUUAGCCCCUGCGCAGGAGGGGAUGGAGGGAUGCUUGAGACGAGGGAAGCGGGGAUCCUCUGCACUGGAUCGAGGCUUUAAUUAAUGAAGGAUGGGGUGAUUUGGCAGCGUUUGCUCGGUGCCAGCUCCCGGGAGGAAUACAAGUCUCCUUGUGUUUCCCAGUUGAAGCAGCUUCCGCCGGCGCUGCCUGUGCUCUCGGCUGUGCUGUAUAUGGCACGGCUAUUUUUAGAAAAGCAGGGUUGCCAUGGCAACCCAGUGUGUUUUUUUGUUAAAUAUAGCAGCUGUUGCAGGGAACUCUUGUCCUUCUGGAUGCAAAGGCUGUGUUUUCGCCCUCUGACAGCGCUCAGGGUAUUAAACGCAGAUGAGAAAGGAUGAUUAAGUGUGCGGAAGCCCAGCAGAAACCACGGCUCUGUAAUUACACGGAGGGGCUUUGAACAGCGCCGUGCGCGCCUGCUGCUCGGGGAGCAGCUCCCUGCAUCGCCAGCGUGUGGGGACAGGGGCACGGGGCUCUGCAGGGGGCUGCGGGCUGUGAGACCACCCACCCCUCUCUCUUGCUAGCCAGGAUGCUCACCCACUGGCCACCAAGGCUGCCCAGGAGGGCACGGGUCCCCUUCCCUGGGCUGCAGCGUGAGAGCCGAGCGCCCCAGUGCCAUGCGGUGGCCACGCUUCGGAGGCCGAGGGGAGACCAAGGGGUUCCCUUUGUUUCUGUUUGUUUGUUUGUCAGCUCCGGAGGGGAGCAGCACUGGAGGAUUUCAUUCCCGCAGGCCUGCUUCACUUUGGCUUUGUCACUUCUUUACCGGACCCCUGGGUGGUGCAAACAGAUCCCCUCAAAGUGCCUUUUCUCUUCUGCUGGGAGGAGGCCGAGGACGAGGGAGCUCUCUUCCCACCGGCUUUGUUGCACGGCUGGCACUUCUCCUCCCCAUUUUGGGGGCUUCCUGGCUCUGCAAGCCCCAAGGGGCACUCGUGGGUUUAGGAUUUAGGAUUUAGGGCCACUCGUGGGCAGCCUCUGCCUUGCGUUGCCUCUCCCUCCCGCGUGGCACCCACACAGCCGCGUGCACGGGGCCACUUGGGCUGAGGGCGGUGUGCCGGCUGGGAGAUGGAGGCCUUUUUUUAAUUAACUGCUCUUUGCCUCGUUAAAUGAAAAAGGAAACCUAGCGAGCUGGAGAUACACAGCAGGGCUUAGGGUCUUUGUGUUUUUCUUUGAAAAGGGGAUAGAAGCACAAACAAAUACAGAAACAGAGUUGAAACAGCUUGGUUUAAAAUAUCCACGGAGGUCACUGUGACCAGGACUUCAACAGGAAUAACAUAUCUCCUGGAUCCUUAUCUGUUCCCUGGGCUAUCAUGAGUGGGAUCUAUUGCUGGGGAUGUUAUUGCUUUUUUGAAUUUAAUUGCAUGAAUGUUGCUUAUGCAAGCAGAACACGGCCGGGGAGGGGCUCUCCUUCCACCAACUGUGGGCACUGGGGCUUGGCUUGGCCCCGCUGCCCAUGUCCCCAGCUGCUUAGCCCUGUAUCUGGCUCUGGUGAGCCUGGUCCUGAAUGGAUAAAGAAAGGCUGAGCUUCCCCAGGAACGUAUAUUUAUUAAAACUUCUGCCUCUGCUUAUAUGUCCACUUCCCUGCGUAUUCAGCGAUCAUCUCAGUGUUUAUGCUCCCCGCUUUCCCCCCAUUGAUUUAUGGGCUUAUUGUAAUCUCUCCAUUGUGUCGCUUCCCCCUCCAGGCAGUGGGGAGCAGGCAGCAGUCCUGGGAGGUUUUUCCUUCACCCUGCCUGUUUGCUGGUCCAGCCCUCCAGCAUUCGCAGCAAUUUGUGUGAGGAAGUGCCACGCUUCAGCUGUGGUACCAAAAUUUGAUGAAACCAUGUUUUUCCCAGCAAGGAUGCUCUUGAGGGCAGUGCGGUCUCCCUAGCAGUGAUGGGGAGUACUGCGAGGGAUGAAAUGCUUUUCACUUCUUUAGGAGAUGGCUACAGAUCUCAGCUGUCCCUCUCAAAUAUACUGCUGCUCCUCUCGUGGGACCAGGGGCUCAUAUAAAGCCUUUUACCAAAGCCUUUACACGCUCAGCUCCUCAUCAGGACAGCCAGGAGCUGCUUAAUGCAUCUCGUGUUGGCUUCCCGUCCUCUGUCCAUGGGGCAGGUGGCCCACGAGCGUAGAGGUGAGGGUAUCUCAGCACCUCUAGAAACGUGGCCUCUUGCCAUCAGGCCAGCACCUGAUGGGGAGAGGCAGGCUGGGCAUGCAGGGAGGCUGAAUAAACCCAUGUGGUAUUCCUGCCUGGCAUCGCCAGGGGAUGCAGGGACCUCGCUGGGGUGGAUGUCCCUCAUGAGCCAGCUCUGUGGGUCUGGUCACUGUGCCACUGCCUGGGAAGGCUCUCUGAUUUUCAAGAGAGAGAUCUUCUCCUGAACAAGAGACACCGAAAGGACAGGGUGGUACUGGAAGUGUCUGGCUUUUUUUUUUUUUUUUCCCCACAUUUAUUUUUUUUCUGGGAAACAGACAAAUAUCAGAGGGAUUUGGGCUUGUUUGUUUGUUUGUUUUCCCCGGGAGCAGACUUUUCGGCUCGAUCCCUUCCAAGCACAGUAGCUGUACCAGUACUCAGUGCCUUUGCCAGGCCUGCCUCAGCAGCCGUAUCAGUCGCGGCAUGUUUUUGUGCCAUUUGGGGAAAUCCUCUGAGACAGGCAGCUCAACAAUAACGUUGAUUUAGGGAGAAAGUCCAUAACUUCUGCACAAAGAAGAGGCUGAGCACCUGUGGUGGCUCACACUGCCUGGAGAGGUGACUGGGGACAGAAGAAGGAAGGAGCUGGCUGCUGGGACACGUGGAAGCAGCACAAGCCCCAGGGUGGCUGCUGAGUGCUGAGCUGCUGGGAAAACCUGGGCACAGCAGGUGCUGAGCCUGCUGCCAGAAAUGUGGCCUCCGUAGAGGAUGCAGAGGAAAGCAUCUUCUCUGCAACAGGAGGUGGCUUUGCUGGUGACCUGCCUCCUGUGCUGGCUUCCUCCUGGCUUUCUGCUGGUGAGCAAGGGCACCUUCUCUUGUGCCUGGCACCAGAAAGUGCCUGUAGCCUGUGACAGCCUCAGACGAGCUCGGGUUAAAUUCCUGACUUCAACCUCAGGGGUUCCAGCUAGUCCCUAGAAACAGCAAGAAGCUUCCGAAGGAGGAGCUCCAGCCCAGGAGCGGGACCAGGAGCCUUUAGCGCCUCUUUUUGUCACUGGCUUCAUUCCCCUCCCCAGCCUGUGGGUGAGCCCACCAAGAAGACCUCCCAGCAGAACAGGACGAGAUCAGAUUUGCCCACAAACUCUAACGUAGCCAAGGUUUUCACACCCCUCCCUGGAUCGGGAGCAAUUUGAGUAGCACUGGUGCCUGAACCAAGGCUGUGGCAGGAGGUGAGAAAUCAGCAGGCAUUCACAGAGACACCGCAAUUAGCUGUGCUGGUGCCUCCAGCAUAUUUCAGUAUACAAUUUAUUUUUUAAGUUCUAGCCCCUCCAAGCCCUCAGUUCAGCCACUUGUGGGAGGAAAUCCAGGAAAACCACAGCUUGCCCAAUGGCUGCGACCUCCCUGCGCCUCCGCCGCGGGGCUGCAGCCCUGGGGGCACGGGGUGCGAGCAGUGGGGGGCCACGAGGGAUGGGAUGAAGGCGAGGAGCUGCUGGUGGGCCUGUGGCCGUGCCCAGCACUGCAUGGAAAUUGCAGCCCCAGCUUCCCUCGCUUUGAUAUAUUCUUGGAUGCGCAGCGUGCGGAUUUUCACCUUCUUGAAUUUCGCCCCGAGCCGUGCGUUUGUCCAAACAGGAAAGCCUGCCCUGAAAUCCAGACGUGGCCGCACAGGACAGCCAAGGUUUGUCUUGCUUGUGUUACCAGCCUCAGGGGCGGCCCCACCAUCACAGAAAGUGCGGGGGGCAUUGGGAGGCAGGAGCCAAAAUCUCUCCUCCCCCAAUUCAGUGUCUCACGAAGGCAGCUGCAUCUCCGGAGGAGAAGCAGGAACAGCUGGAGCAGAAGAAAGGCCAAAUGAGAUGAUGCCAUUAGGAUUAUUUCAUCUCCCGGUUGAACGGGAGCCCAGAGCAGUCCCUUUGUCAGUGAAAUCCUCCUGCGUGGGGCUCUUACACCAUCACAGGGCAGGGGCCGCGAACAUGCGCCAGUCCUGGAGCGCUUCUCUCCCCGGGCAGGACAAGAUGUCCCAGGGAAGGGCCGCGGGGGAUGUGCAGCCCUGAAUCUGCCAUGGGGAGUGCUGGACAAAGUCAUGGUGCAUCGGACACGCAAUUUCAGUGAAGGGUAGGUUGUGCCCCCAGAUAUCCUGUUGGGAAAAUUAACUAAAUGGCAUCUUACUUGAAUACCAGCAGCUCCCUUCCUCACUGGAAAAGUUUUCCCUGUCCCACCCAAACCUGCUGCUCCAUUUUUGAAAUAAGCCAUUCUUACUUAUUUUCCAAUUAAAACAUUUUUUUUUUGGUUUGUUUUUGUUUGUUUCAGAUCUGAUUUCUUCUCCUCAUCCCUCUCCUUCUGCUCCUCCACGCAGCAGGAGAGCUGGAGGAUGCUCUGUUGUGGCAUGGCAGCUCCCCAGCUCCCAAAAUACAGGUCUGCCUCUUUGGGCAGGGCUGGGUACGGAGGGGAUGGAAGGGCCUCCUCUCUCCUGCUCUCUCUAAUUUUUCCCCUCUAGCUCUAUUUUUUUUCCAGGGAGCUCAUGCUCGCCAGAUCCUGCCUCCAGCACUCGUGGCAUCUUUGUUGGCUCCAUGUGCACGAGUGUCCAAAAAAGGGCUUGGAAGAGGAAAGGCAUUAGACGGAGGCAAUUAUUAAUGGUAAUAAAACAAUUGCAGGGAGGGAUCCUGCUUGGACUGCAUUAUGAAGAUGCUCUGAACCACCCACCUCUGCAACGUAACCUCGCUGCCUGCUCCACUUUGCCUUUCCUCCUCCCGUGCGCCAAUUACUGGAUUCAUCCCACUUCACAUUUUUAUUUCUCCUCCCUGGGAUUUGGACCGAGUGCCCUUUUCGGUGGUCAUAAUAUGCCUCCUUCGUAUCUUCCUCCUACCUUGUCAUGUGUAAAGAAAAAGGGGGGAGUAAUAAUUCCUUUAAUCCCUGCGGGCCCCCCGGUGCUGCUCGCUGUGUCCUCUGAUCCAGAAGCCAGACAAAGCGGUGGCACAGAUGCGUAGCUCGGCUCCGACUGCUGGAGACAGUCAUUAAAGCCUCUCAGUUGGAUGCACACGGUAAGGAAUAGACCCCCCCCUUCUUCCCUCCCAGGGCCCAGGAAGCUUCCCAGCUCCCCUGACACCAAAGCCUCCCCUUCUCAAUGUUUCAGGAUCUGGAUCUAAUGACCCCACAGUCCUAGGUGGGGCCGGGGCUAACCUGGGGGUGCUGCAGGGAUGCUGUCUCUGCCCCCUUGCAGAGGACAGCUUGCAGUGCUUCCCAAUUUAUCCUGCCAGCAUCCUCACAGCAUGCCCAGCUCCCAGCCCCGCAGAGCAAUCCCUCUCCUCUUUGCAGGAGAGGGAUUCUCCCCAGUGCUCUGGGUUCAAAAGCUGCUUUGCAUGACCAAGGAGCCCUGUGCUGCUCUUUGAAGCCCGUGCACACAGAGGCAGUGGUUUGACACUGUUCUCAUCCUGCACCACGUCUGUGGGAUGUGCUCAGCGAACACGCUGCCUCGUGGUGUGCUCCGAGCCCUGCAUGAGAUGGCUCAUCCCCACCCAGCGCACAGUAACACACCAUCCGUCCCGUUACUGGCAGCAGCGGGGGGAAAGGGAACCUCUGAAAUCCAUAAAUCAGACGCCUCUCGAAUUGUGUGGGAUUAAGGAAAAGGUGUGGAAUAGAAAUAAUUUCCUUGGGGGAAACUAUAUCAUUUCAUUUGCCCAGGAAAAUAAUACACAUUCAUCGUGUGUGUCUUCAGGAGACUUUAAAAAGAAUUAAAUGCGGGGUCGGAUUAAAUGAGAGGUCGGAGGAUGCAAUUAUGACCGUGGUUUCUCCGGGGGCAAAGCAGGAGGAAGAAAUUCCCUUCCUGCCCCCUGUCCCAGCAUUUGGGACUUGCCCUGACGCUGAAGUUCACUGCCUCUGUUGUUGUGUUGUCCCCCCACCCUGCUCCCUAAAAUGCACAUGCAGAGUGAAACACUGGAAUAGGCCAGAUACCAAAACCUGGCAAGGAGCAGCGUAUUAUUAGUUUUUAAUCCAGAUCCCACCCAUUGCGGGAUCCCAUCCAGUGGAAGCAGAAUGUCUCCAUCUGGCUUUGCUGCCGGGGAACGUUUCCACGCCCCAAGCCCGGUGUCAGUUGGCAGUGGGGCCGUGGUGACAGCCCUGGAGAGGGGCAGGAGCUGGAGCCAGCAUUCCCUGUGCUGAGGUUGGUUUGUUGUCACCCCCCCAUGUCCUGGGCAAACCACGGAGCCUGGAGAUGGCCUGGGGACCAUGCUGCGCCCCAGCUACAGCUGGCUGGUGGGACCUCCAUGCAGUGUGGUUGGUGGGACCAGCAUGAAGCAUGGUCACAGGGCCCACAUGACAGCCCAGAGCCACCUCCCCAUACUGCCACGCUGGAAAAAGGGGGACGAGGAAGGCAAGGUGAGGUGAAACUCGCUGAGAGCUUUUGACACGCUCCCAUUAGCUGGCGGGCACAGGCUGUGCGGUAUUGCUGCAGACUCUGAGCUCACCAUGCUAAUUUAAGACAGAAACUGCAACUUUAUCUGCAAAUAUAUGAAGCAAUAAUCAAUAGCAGCCUUCUCCUGCCAGCCGUGGUCAUGUCAGCACCCUGGCGUGCUCUCAGCCGCAAGCACUGAGACCGUAGCAGGGAGAGGCGGAGGUGGAGGAAAGGGAAGGCAUGCAGGCAGGAGGAAAGCAAGCACACGGUGGGGAUUCAGGGCUGUUUCUCCUCACCUUGCCACACCACAGGGCACUGUCAGGUCGGGCACAGCUGCGGGGGCAGCUGGGGCAGGCAGCCAGCCAUGGUGGGCACGGGGAGGAGAUGGACGUGUGCCACCUCCCAGCCGGUGCACACCCCGGCAGCUCAUAAAAGCAGCAGGUCUUGGCAGCGUUUGCUCUGCUUUAACGAGGCCAUCUGCUCCCGGUGACCAGCAGAGCAGCUCCUCUGGCAAAGCCUGGCCAGAGUCAAGACAGAAGCCAGCAGGUUUGGCCUCGUGAGGUGUCCUCCACGUGUCCCAGGACAGCAGCGGAUGAAAACAGCUCGCUGCUCAAUCAGCAGCUGUGACCCACGGGCAGCUGUAGCCCCGCUGUUGCCCACCUGUGCCUCCCUCCCUCGCCGCUGCCACCUGCACCUCCUCGGCACGCAGCUGACUCCAGCUCUGCUUCACGCCUGCUCUGGCACUGAGGACCUCAAAAAGGUGUCGUCCUCUUGGAAAGUCCAACCUGUGGUUGGAUGCUGCAAUCAGUGCUAAACUGAGCUCCAGUUGUUCGUUUAAGCUAAUGCAAUUACCAAAACCCAGGAGUUUUGAAAGGGUUGUUAGGGGCUUUUGCCUUCCGUUCAGGCCACGGACUUCCCCACAGCCUCCUCUGGAGGUGCUGGUGGCAUCUCGCAUCAGGAGCAGAAGAUGCAAGGCCAGCCUCAUCCACUCUGGCAAUUCCCUCAUCUCUGAGCAUCAUUCCCCCCCCCCUUUUACAAAACAAGCACGCUUAGCACUACACGAUUUCGGCAUCCGAGUCGCCUGACGGCUUUAGAAGGGAGUAAACAUUCAUCCUGCUGACACGGCAAUAAAACCGGUGCAUCUGGAAAAGAGGAGUCAGCAGCAGAUGUGCCCCUGCAAACUGCUCGCCGUGAUGAAUGCUCUUCCCAGAUACUGCUAAUCCCUUUUCUCUUGCUCCUAGACCUCCUUAAUUGUGCUCCCUGUGAUUAAACAACGCUUUGAAGACAUCUCUAGAAGUUGUUUCUUCCACAGCAGGAAUGUCGCCUGCCGGGUUUGUAGCCUUUGGCUCUGGGUGUAAGGAGCUCGUUUGGCAAGGCAGCCGGGGACAGCGCCGCCUGGGUGCUCCCCUGUCCCCAACCUCCUCGGGGCACAGCCUCCACCAGAAGGUCAGGGCCACCAGAAGGCCAGGAGGGGACAGUAGGCUGGGCAGGGAUGUGAGGAUGAUGGAUUUCCAGGGAUGUGCUGCUCGUCCCUGCACCAGAGGCAGGGCGUUUUGGGCAGGAUGGGCGCUGGCACAGGGUGAGCUGUCCCAGCCUGCGCCCUCCCGACGGGGUGGAGGAGGAAAGUCCCCGUGGAUGGAGGCAAGCGAUCGCCUGAAUAUUCAUGUAUCGGCAGGCAAGCUACAGCAGGCCCUCGUUACAAACUGCUACCCAAACUGCUUACAUCCAUAAACGAGGGAAAUAAAUAAACAGAUGCUUGUUAAUUGACUUAAUUACCAACCAGCAAACAGGAGACCGGGAGCACAUCAAUAAAAGUGUUUUAAAAAGCAACCCGUAGUAAUUCUUUUCCAUAUGCAAACCACGCCAGUCUCUUCUGUCUACAAUAGACUCCCCAAAGACGAGAAAUGGAUUUUCAUUAUGUGGGAAGGAGAGAUCAAAGUCUGAAAAUUAGGGUUGUAGCCCAAAAUGAAGCCCAGGAGUUAUUGCAAACAAUCCUCCUUGAACAAGAAAAGUCCAGCAGCUGAAGGAAUCCUCCAGCAAGGACCAAAAGAUGCUCAAGCAAAAGGGAAAUGUGGAAGGACCCGUCCCCGCCUGUAAUGCAGCCAUGUCCAACCUGAGGAUAGGGAUAACUCUGAUGCGCUCCCUGAUGGGGCUGAUGCUCACCGUGGAUCCCCUGGAGUGCAUAAACAUGAAGCAUCUCCCAAGCUGCAGGCUUAUGGCCAGACCCUUGAUCUUAUUCCUGGGGUGGAUGCAUGGGUCCUGCCCACCCAAAUGAAGUACGAGCCGUGGAGCGGUUCAUUGACAAGGGCUGCAGAAGCUGUCAUCUCCCGUGACCUCUCCUGAUCGUGACACCACAAAGGAAAAAAAAAAAAAAGAAAAAAAAAAGAAAAAGGCCACACCAGGCUUUGAAAUGUGCAACCACCUGAGCUGUAAGUUGAUUUCUUUCACUUUCUGGAAGCGAUUCCCCUUGUAUGGGUGCUGCUGUUCAGCAGUGUCUGUGCAACUGCCUGCUGCAAACUGCUCGUUGCACGCAGAGCGAGCCUGCCAGCCAAGGCAGGUACCUGCUCUUUUCCAGCCCCGUUCCCAGCGUGUUUGCUCUGCUCCUGGUCUGGCAGGGAGGCUGUGCAGAAAAACCAGCGUGGGUUCCCUCGGGACUGCUUGCAAUCAGCCUCCAGUGCCGUUACCUGUAUCACGCAGCCCAAGUGCUUAACGAGUGCCCCGGGGCGGGCAGGUUAUGAAAGAAGCCCCAUUAGCGUGCCCCUGGCUGACGUCAAUGUGACGCGGGGUAAUCAGGGGAAAACGCAGAGCAGGAUAUGCAGAAACGCUGGGGAGAGCAGGCUUUUGGGUGCAACUGGAAUAAUAAAAUAAUAAAAUAAAAAAAAAUAGAGGUGGAGCAAGUGGCAGCAAGAGAUGAAGGAAGAUUGUCUUAUCAGCCGGGGCUGGCAGCUGGGGUGAAUUUCCCCUCCCGAGUGCAGACUCUGCAGGUGUGGGUGAUGCUCUCCCAGUGCUCAGGUGCUGCAGCUCCAGCCCUUGCCAUGGGCACGAGCAGGUCUGCAUUCACCAGGAUGGCCACGGCAGGGGACAGCGGGCAGGUGCAGAAUUACAGCCCUCAGAGCCCAACACGACUGAAGACCGCCUGUUGCGUUGAAGCAGAUUGCAUGCUCGCCUCAAAUUUUGUGAUAUUUGCUGAGCUACCUCCACCUGUAGUUCUGGCUUUGUUUGAAGGAAAGGAGUGAGUGAGAGCACUUGUGUUCCUGUGCUUGCAGGGCAGACCCUGAAGCUGGAGCCCAGGCAGGCUGGAAGAGCAGAAGGCUCAAGGAAGACAAGCAGCAGCUCCAAAAGCUCCCCCUGAGGGACAUCGGGGAGAGGAGUGGGGCACACCGAGGUGGCUGUGGUGGGACCAGGUCGUGGUGGUCGGGGCUGCCCUGGGGUAAGGCUGUGGUUUGGCUCUGCAGAGGAUGGGGACCCCGGCAGCCUUGCACGACCAGCUCCCGAGCCCGGAGUGUCUUUCAGCAAGACGUGCAGUUUCACCACCUGCUCGUUUGGGCCCCCGGCUGCCACGCUGCCUAUCUGUCGGCGCGUUUGCUCGGCUUUCCAAAAUGUGCCUGUCCGGCUCCUCUGGCAUCCAACAUGCUGCUGCCUGCCUCGUGCGCGCUGCAGAUUCGGGUUCCUCCUUGGAAAGCAUCCACGUCGCCAGCUAUUUUUGGAACAGAGGCAUCUAUUGUCUUGCGCCGUUCCCUGCUGGGUUAAGCUCACAGCUGCCGAGGCCCCUUCCCCCAGCACCCUCUCCCUUCCUUCCCAUGGCACGGCUUCUGCGUGCCAGGCAGCAUCUCCAGAUAUGCUGCUAGAGCACCCCGAGGCAGGGCAGGGCCCUUGCCACCAUUUUGUGGGUGCCCUGAGCCAGCGUCUGCCCCAGGAGCUGUCAGGGGGUCCCACAGAGGGGUGGAUCGUGGUGUCCAUCUCCAGCAACAGGCUUCCUAAUCCUGCUGUGAGGUCCUGCCAAGCUGAUCUGCAGCACGGGACCGGGUCCUCCACCCCUCCAGGCUGAAGCCAGAGGUGGAGCAGCGUGGCAGGGGCUACAAAUGGAGUGUGUGGGAGCUGCGCUUCAGGCUGAGCCCUUGCAUUAGGCAAGAAAGAGAGGAAUUGCUGGACAGGCUGGGAGCUUGUGGCAGGGCUGUCCUUCUCCCUUGCCACAGCUUCCAGAGCUGGGCUGGGUUUUGUAGCCCUGGUGCCCAUAGCAAGAAGGCUGGGCUGCUGCUCCCUGAUCUCAGGACCUUUGGGAUUCCUUCAACCUAAAGUUUCAUCUCUGAUUUCCUCGGUCAUGUUGGGUUCCCUUUGCUGCCCAUUUAUUUGUGCCUCUACCAGAAAGCUAGCUGACAAUUUUCAAGUGUCUUGCUCUGCAGAAGAACUGAAGAGGGGGGGAAAUGCAAGAUGGGACAGAGCUAUUUUAAUCUAAGUCCAUCUGCGUUGAUAAUUCUCUAUCCAGUCCCGAUCAUUGCUGGAAUUCUUGAGCAGGACAGAGUUUGCUGAGCGGCCUGGCUGAGCAAAUACCUUGCAUGCUUUGCAGGCGCUUCAGCCUCUGCAUGCCCAUGCAUCUCUGCUUGCAGCCUGGUGGGUCAGCACAUGCUUGAGCAGAGCCACCAUCAGAGCCGCAAAUGCAGGCACCCGCUCCCCAGCACGGGGAAGAAGCGGAGCCAGCAGCUCCUUCCCACCGCACGUUCCUCUCCCUGCAGUCAGAUCCACGUCGCGGGAACAGCGAAUUCGGCACUGAUGGCCCCUCAGCAUGUUAGGAAAGUUUCGUGCAAUCUGUUUACUUUUGGACAUAUGCUGCGCUCGUGCAGCCUGGAGUCUCGCUGCCUCUAAUAACUUGAGGUGCAAUUUCCUCCUGUUUGGUGCCUGGUGCACUGAUCGACACCUGUGGAAAUAGGCCUCUGGGGGGGUGCAAAAUGCCUUUGCUCCUCUGGGGUAGCCCCUUUACUGCUGCUGUUAAAAAAAAAAUGGCACAUGUUGGCCCUGAGGUAGGGAUCCUCCAUGGGAAAUCAGAGGGAGAUGGGAGGCGAUGGGACCACGCUGCACUUCACCACCUCGGGAAGCUUGAGGAAGGCUGAGAUACCUGCAUCUGCAUGGAGCUGCAUGGAUGUAUAUAUGUGUGUAUGGAGCUGUAAAGGUAGCUGUGUGUCUCACAGAAAGCAGAUUGUGCUUCCAAGGAGGAGUUCUCUAACCCUCGUUGCAGGGAUGCAAGGUCUUUGCUGCACCUGGGAGCUGCCUGGGUGGACAGGCGAUGUGCAUUUAAUGCACAGCUUCUCUCCUUGCAGAAAAAGAGCACAAAAUCCUAGUUUGUUUUUCUGUUUUUUCCCUUGCUUUUUGAGCACUUCUCUAGCAUAAUGCCCUGAGGGGGAUUCACUGAGCUCUGUGCCACGGUGUCCUCCUGCCUGCGCCCAGCUCACCAGCAUGGCUACAACAGAUUUUGCACCAGAAGAGACAACUAAAAAAAUAAUAAUUGAGAAAGGGCCGUAUUUGAGGGUUGGCAAAACAGAUUUAUUUAUUUAUUUAUUUUCCAGCAAAAGUGAAGUUAAAUGGGACAGAGAUCUUCCUGCACCCUCUCUGAUCUCAGAUGAGGAGCUUGGGCUGUGAUGUACCCUGUGAACCAGUUUUCAGGAUAGGAAUAAAAUCUGGAGAAACGGACAACGGACAAAAACCGGGAUCCUUGCAGACAGCCUCCUGUUGCACCUCUGUGUUUCACUCACCCCCUGAUUCUCCUGCAGAUCGGCAGCACCGCAGGGCAGUGACUCGCAGGCGUGGGGUUUGGUGUCUGGCAGCGGGCUGGUUACGAAUUCCAGUGUGGCCAUACAGGUAUUUAUGUAGGCAGCUGCCGUGUUGGUGACUCGCUUUUAUUUUAUGCUGCCUGAAGCAUCCUGAGGCAGGAGCGGUGCCGGAGAGCCCGCACAGGAGCAGCUGGGCUGUGAAAGGCACCACAGCCGGGUGCUCUCCAAGCCCUGCUGCAGGCGAUGCUGGUUUCCCCCAUUUUGUGCACCCUGUGAGGAGCUGGGUGUGCAGGACCGUGUCCCUGGGGGAAGUGUAAUGUUUUUUCACGAGCAAAACUUUGGAUAGGGCCCUGAAGAAGGGGUUGGACCCUGCAGCAGCCAGCAGGAGCAUCCCUGGGGACAGACUGGUGCCCUGGGCCAGAUGGGAGGGUGGGGAAGCCUGAGCCAGCAGGCCGUGAGCAACUGCUAAAAUGUUCCUCUUGGGGUGCGUUUUGAGUGAAUUUUCUAGCAACGUUUAUUUUUGAAAGGCUUGCUAUCAGUGUUACUGAGCAAACCUGGCAGCUCCCCUUGCUCUGCCACAGCCCUGCUGGGAGCAGCACUGCUGGGAUCUCACAGCACUAACGUGAUGCACCCAGGGGUGCAAUGCAUGGCAAGGAUCUUCUUGCCCUGGGUGCAGGGCAGACCACAGCAGCCCUCAGCUCAGCAGCAGGGUGAAAACGCCGAGCAAGUAUCAGGCAGUGCAGGUAAAUGGUGUGGAAGCAGCUCUGUGCAGUGCACAUAGCUGAACGCAGGAGUCCCACCUGGAGCAGACCUCCAUGGAAGCAGAUUGCAGGGGUCAAUUACGCUCAAGAAAGCAGAAAUGGUUGAAAGCACAGGUGAAUUCAACUGGGAAAGUAUUGUUGUGUAUUGACCUUGUUCUCAUGAUCUUUCCCUAAACAUCCACCCUUGUUACAGACCAUAACAGCACGAGGUGCUUGCUAGAGCCGUUGCUGUUAGACAAGAACCUGAGCUAAGCUGAUCUAAGUGAAGAAUUGCUUACUGUCAGUGGUGGGCAAUAUUUUUACGCUCUUUCUAAACUGAUAAAAUAAUUUUGCAGUGAAAUGGUAUUGAUGGGAGUUGUCCCCUUCCCUCCCCCUGCAUCUUCUGUCUCAUUUUAAGCGCAGGGCCGAUGGUGGGCACGCAUGGUGAUCCCCUACAGUGAAACUGAAGUUUCACUGAUUUUAGGGGGGAGAAAACAGAGAGGGCCAAGGGCUGGAUCAUUGCCUGGCUGCGGCAGGGUGCUCACGCCAGCCACCUCAGCUGCUCUCAAAGCACUGCUGUCCUCUCUGACAGCCCCAUCUCACCCAUCCCCUGCCCCUUGCUGAGGGAUCGGAGCCGUCAGGGCCAUGCUCACUAGCUAACACCUUUCCCACACGAUGAGCUUCUGCCGUGCUUCCUCCCCAGCUUAAAACUUCCCAUCCUUUUAAGUUAUUCUGGAGAUGCUCAGCUGCCUCUUUGCCCCUUGGCCUUCCUCCCGCCUCCCUCCCCCAAAUCCGGGGCGAUACAGUCAAGCCCUAAUGAAACACUGCCGGUGACUCAGGCCCACUGGCUGUUGUGGGUGACACGUGGCCCAGCUCACAAAUGCCACCGCAGGCGUUAGCACAGGGCAUUACAUGGGCAGGGGGGCGGAGGGGAGCUCGGGGGGAUGCUCUGCAAUCGCUGCCCACCCGCAGGAGGCCGUGGCAGGGUCAGGAUGGCGCGCGGUGGCUCCUCAUCCCCAGGGCUGGGCAGCUGCCAGAAAGGGGCUGGCCACAGCUGGGUUUCCUGUUAAAAAUAACUCCACGGCAUAAACUUUCACGGGAGGAAGGGCAGAGAGCGGCGGGGUCUGGCGCCGUCCCCUCGGCCACAUCAGAGCCCAGCUCAGCAAACAUCUGCCCGGCCGGCGUGAGUCAGCAGCGGCCGGGGGCAAGGGCAGGAAAUGUCUGAGUUUGACCCCGGCGAAACCCAGGGGAGACAAGCCUUUGGGGCUGGAAGGAAAACAAACACUGGGCUAAACCGAUGCUCAGAGGACCUCUCGUCUCUGGCUUGUUGACCGCUUCACUUGCGUAAAAGCAGCAAAAAUGGUGAGAGGAGAAAGAAAGAGAAGAGGUGAGGAGCACGGCAUCCCAGAGAGGCGUGGGGAGGAAGGCUUCGCUGUUGGUGUUGCUGUUUGGCUGCAGCAUUUCCUUUGUUUUCCCUGUGCCCCAAGCACCCAGCAGGACCGGGCUGCUCUGGCUGCAUGGCAUCAGCAUGACCCCAUUUGCUUUGCCGGGGCACAGGAGGAUCUGUUUUCCCACACCCUCCUCAUCCUCCCGACAUCCCCAGUGCAAGGCACCUGUGGGCAAGGGGCUGCUGCAGCUUAGGGUGCAUUUUCUGCCUUCUCACCCAGCGUUCCCCAUCCCACACUGAGUUUCUUUUCCCUCUGGGCUGCUGUCACUGGCUGGGGGCUGUGUGACAGUCUGUGGAGUCGGGGUGCCCUCCAGGCCACAUCUGCCCCUCGCAGAGGAUGCUCUUGGCUGUCAUUGAGUGAAGUCAUGACCUUGCACAUCAUCAGGCAGGGCAAUACGGUGGUCACCCCACCAAGAAGAGGGCAUCCCGAGCACACCGUGCUCACCAGCUCCUGCUCCACAGGACAGCACAGCACCGCCGUGCCCAUCCAGUGCUCCCCAGGUCGUGCCGGUGGUGGAUUCCCUCGUCCUGCCAGAGCCGCCUGGUACAGCAGCGCUGGGAGGAGACGCUGGUAAUUUUCCACUAUCCCCGGCAUCGGGAGGCACAGAGCAAGCACUGAAAACCUGGCGAGGCUCCACCGCGGGUUCACACCUAUUGCUUUCGCAAGACGUGCGAUGAUAAAACCCUGAAAGGCAAAGAAAGGCCAUUGCUCUGAUUCACUUAGCAUGCUGCAAGCUGUCUUGUUUUGUUCCCUCUCCUCUUUUUCUUUUUCCUUCCCUGUUCUGGGAGACGAGGGGGGAGCGUUACGUGUUCCCAGGCUAUUUCAGGCCAUCGCAGCACUGGUGUCUCAGGUAGCCUGACCCCGCCACCCCGCUUCUGUCCCAGCCCUCUCAGCGAUCCCAGGAUCCGCAUGUCGGCUGUGACACUUCCUAAUUGCUCAAGAUGGAUUGCUUAAGAAAAAGCCUUCCAUAUGGUCCACAGGAUUUAUUUUUUUUUUUAUAUUCCCCCCCCCUCCCCGUUUCUACAACUGUUACAGGAAAAGAUAUUUUUCCCCAUUUGACAUAUAUGUAAUCUUCUUCUGAUACACAAAUGCCAGAUGGCACUGCAAAAAGAUAAUAAAUGUGUCUGCAGCCUUCGACAGUUAAGUCUGUGAACCUCGAAAAUGGCUACAGAGGAGCUGGGAGUGGCUGGGCUCAAUUUUUUUUUUUUUGGUCGGGGGUGUUGAAAACGAAGCAUUUCAUCUAAGGGGGUUAGGUGAGCCUGGAAAUGCUCUGUGCCUGCCCCAUGCCUGAGCCUGCUGGGGAUGCUGCUGCCAGAGGAUGGAGAGGCUCCGAUGGUGGCUCUGCUGCUCCCAAGGUGGACAGGGGAGUUGGCAAGCUCCCAGUGUGGAGAUGCAGGAGGAAUAUGUAUUAUUCUGCCUGUAUAUAGCCAUCUUUUGGUGUGCUGGAAAACACAAAGUUUUUGAUAAAACCAUGCCAAACUCUUGGUUUUUGUGAUGCUGGAUGUCUUGCUGGCUUCUCCCAGGGAAGCUUUCCUGCUGGGCAUAUUUGGAGUGUGCUGGUUGUGGCUGUGGUCGAAACACAACACGGGCCCUUCAAACAAGCCCUGUGUGACCUGGCCUGGGGUUUGCACAGCAGCGAGCAAAUAAAAGCCAGCUCGCCUCUGCCAGGUGAGCGCUCUGUGCCCGUGCCUUGUGUCAACCGUGGGAAGGAAAUUCGAACUGCAGAGGGAUUUGGGUCUUAAAACCACCUCUGGGAAGGGGCCCUGUGGUUGAACCAGCAACAAGGAAAGCAGAUUCCUGACACCUGGUGAAACAAAGCUGUUUGCAGCCGAUGGGCACCUCACCGUCGGGUUUGGAGGGACUUUGAAUCGGGUACUGGAAACCCAGGGAGGAGAGCUGUGAAGAGUCCUGCCUGCUGCAAGGGCGGAUUGUAAUCUCCUCUCGGAUGUCAAACUAACCCAGAUAAUAAAACAGCUUGAGUCUCAAGACGUUCCCCAGAGAGCAGAAAUGUAUGGAUAACCCUGAACACGUGAAUCAACAGCAGCAGACACACUGGUAACUGCCAGCUUCAGCAGAGCACCUGAAACAUUGGCACCGGGAUCUGUGAACUUCUCCUGCAACGUGAAGAUGAAGAGGAGGUCCUUCUUUGCCCAGGCACAACCUGUCCAUAGGCAGGAUAUACUGCGGGACCUGUGCAGGACGUGCUGGUGAGGACCUCACCCUGAUAUUUGUAAUGGUAUCAACGGGACUACACUGAGCUUCAUCUCCAGAGGACCUGGACCACAGCAUUGUGUCAGAUGUCCACAAGUGUUCAAUGCUUAAGAGGCAUUUUUAAGCCAGACUUGGGCUCCAAAAUUACUCCAGUGGUUUUUAAAAUGGUAUCAGCCCUGCAUCCCCAUGGUUUGGAGAGGUUGUUUUCCCAGCAGGGCACCCUAUCUCCCCAUCAAAGUCCUUAAAUGCUGGGAAGGAAAUCAGCAAUGCUGAAAGGUCUCUUGGAGAAAGUCAGCUCUAGGAUAUGGAGCAGUUGUCUCUGAUCUCUCCAGCUAUUACCUCAGUCCUCUUCCACGCUGCUUUUUAUAUCAUAGACCACAUCACGAAACACAUGAAACCCAAAAGCAUAUGGAAUUUUGCUGCUGACUUCCCAUGGCCAGUCAAAGCCCAAACAAGCAUGGGCAGCUUAUUUUCCACUUCCCAGUCCCCAGGCCCCAUCCAUCACAGAGCUGUGCACCUCCUAAUGGCCUGCGUUUCUGGAGGAAAGCAGCUGUUAGAGCACUCAGCGUUGCUGUGUUCAAUCAUAACAUCAGAAAAGUGCAUAAAAUAAUGAAAGCAAACUUGCCAUUGUCUGAAAAAGAAAGGCUCCUAUCAUGGAAAGCCACGCUUUCCACAGACAUUACUGUAUUCCUUUUUCCGCUUGACAAUUUAUUCAAGUAUCAAAGGCUCAAGUCUCCUGAUAAUUUUGUCUGGUCAGAGAACAAGCAUCUGCUCUCUCUGAUUGCAGGUCACUUCUCUCAUGCAAAACUCGAUUGAGACAUGCACGUCAAGGUCAGAAAUGAGUCUGAGCUCAUACAUUGUUAGCCUAAAAAAAAACAAGAAGUAGAAAAAGAGAUAAUAACAAGCCUUUAAAAUGGACUUUGGUAAUGCGCUUUUGCUGCGAGUAUGGUGUAAAGAGGAGUUAAUUGCAGCAUUCUAAUGUAUUAAUUGCUUGUUAGUUGUUAAGUUUAAGCCUUUUGCUGGAAAAGGAUGAUGAAAUUUGGAUGGAAAUCAGCCUAUAUUGGACAGUGGGAAGACUGGAAGUUUAGAAAGAGGAAGGUGAAAAUGAUGUGAUUGGAGCAUAAAAAGAGAGCAUUCCAGCCAAAAUAAAGUGUGCAACUAUCAGUGAAACCCUGGGCUGACCACUGGUUAAGAAGAGCUUUGCAUAAACAUCAGCUACCUUCAGAGUUCUUGGAGAUGAAAAGUAUGUGAAAAGUCUUGGCCUCUGGGGGUGUAAAAAACAGAAGUAAUGCUAGUUUACUCAUCUGCUGUUUGCAAGGCUCUGAAAAGAAACUUGUGCAGCUCAUGAAGGAUCAUCACCUGCCUUGCAAAACAUCCAGGUCUGAUGUGCUUGCUAGGUGGAGUGUUUUCUCUCCUUCUUUCAGUCUUUUACCCCUGCAAGCUCUUCCACAGUCUUUUCCAAUUACGAGCUUCCCCCUGAAAAAGCACACACCAGGCCUUCCACGUCAAAGCGGCAAUAAAGCCCUUGGGGAAACAAUUUCCUGUGUGACAUUCACAAAGUGAAAUUCGGCCUGGAAGGAAGCGCUGUUAGGAAGAGCGUGGGCUGAACUCCAUCCUCUUUCAUCUGGAUCCUGGAGGCGUUCUCACCCCCGCUCCCUCCACCUCCACACCCGAUGUCCUCGCCAAGUGCAUUGGGAAGAAGUUCUGAUCUGGAGCACAACAGCACACACCCUGAACCUAGCUAGCUGGAGAUACUACCGAUGAGCUGCCUAAGUGCUUCUCUUUUGUUCCAGCCCAAGAUUUGAGGCUCAUUCCCCCUGUCCUAGCCAAGCAGAGAUUCAGAGGCAGAAGUUCAUACUGGUCUGACGAUGAUGAUGAUGAGCUACUCCAGGGGGCCAUGGGGUUUAUCCCCAUGCACCCCCUGAAUCCUGAGUGUUUGUAGCAGCAGAGCUAGCCACAGUCGGCCUGUCUGAGAGAUCCAGCAGAAAUAAUGUGCCCUGUGGGAAUAGGUUGCCUCACCCAGGGCCUGAUGGCACGUGUUCUGCCGUUAGCCCAGCGCCGGGUCCAGCUGCAAGCCGAGACCUGCCGUGGUUAACGUGCUGCUAGGAGGCUCGUCUUGCACCUGUGGGAGCCCAUCGGCAUUAGAUUACCCUCUGUGAUCUUCAGCGGUGUGAAAAUAAAAUCUCCUGCAACUCGUGUGCUCUGUACAGUCCAGAUAAUGGCACAAGGGUGGAACAGAGAAAGUAGGGACGGGCAUUUAAAGCACACAAAGUCCUGAGUCUCUCCUGAGCCACAGCUACCUAGCUCAUCCCUGAAACAACCACCAAAAGAAACUCGUGGUGUUGAUCUGUGAGUUGCAGCAGCUGAUACGCCUGCCUGCUAGGGGUAAUCUACUGGGCAUCAGCAGAGCACAGAACUUCUGAACGUCUUGGACCACCUCCAUAGUAUUGUCCAUGAGGACUGCAGUGCCGUAUGCAGCUUCUGGUGAAAUCAGGCAAUAGAAAACAAGGGAAUGUAAAAUGUGUGUUCCUUGGAGAGACCUGCACUUUGUCAGCUGAUGAUCAAGCUUUGCUAUCUCUUCUCUUAAAUAAAUACUCUGUCCCUGGAGGGGGCUGAGACUAAAGGAUCUAAAACAUCUAAGCUGUGAAGCAAAUGAUGUCUUGGAUACAGUCAAGUUUUCCAUAUGAAAAAAUUAGUCCUAGCCAGAAGUACAUUUGCUUGCAUUUCAAACACACAUCUCUCCCUGGCCAGCAGUGAAUUCUGAGCCAGGUGACAGUCUGGGCACACAGGGGCUGCA